RNAcentral lists this long non-coding RNA (517 nucleotides) under Panax ginseng (ginseng). Its description in RNAcentral is "long non-coding RNA (PGIN_LNC018018)". The record is from RNAcentral. Lineage: Eukaryota; Viridiplantae; Streptophyta; Magnoliopsida; Apiales; Araliaceae.
AUUCAUUGAUUGUUAUGAAAUCAUUGAGAUUGAUCAUCUGGAACAAUGACAUGAUCCGCUAGUAACCAAAGUACCAAGUGUAUAAUUUAAAAUCAAAGAGUUGAAUUUUAUUAGUAAUGUAAUAAACAGGAAGACGAUAACAAAUACAUGAAACAAAGUUGUUACAUAAUAGAAUUCAGAGUCAUUAAUCUGGAACACAGAAUGCAAAACACACCAUAAUCACAACCAAAACAGCAAGAUCAUGCCACCUCUUUAAGGACGAAGAAUGAAAUGGCAACACCCACAAAUCCGACGAGCAUGGAUUCAAAUGAAGCCAGCCCAUUAGAACUAUUGGUACCAGGAGGAGGAGCAGCAGCAGGGGCUUGUGCAGCAACUAGUAAUGCUGCUGCAAAUGCAGAGCAAAUGGCAAAGACAAAAGCUAUGUUUGAUUGUUGAAUUGUGAUCUUCAACUAGAGCUAGCUAUCUUGAUGAUUUAGCAGAGCAAGUUAGUUAUGGUUUGAUACAUGUCAUGUGUUUC